UUCAAUAGGUCCUUCUGGUGUAAUAAGCUUCACUUUGUAACUGGCCAUGCAAGUAAUCCUCCCAUUUCUACCAGAUUUAAGACCAAACAAAGCUUCACCAACAUUUGAUAUGGCUUUGAGGCUAGUCACAGCUGGCUUUCUUGGAAGGAAAGAAGUGCUAAUCAUUGUACCAGAAAUACUAGCCAUUUUUUACAAUUCUUUUCUUUUCUUUUCUUUUCUUUGCUCUCAAUUGUGAAAUGGGGAUUUGAACAAUGGCAAGGGCUUGGGGAUAUAGUGUGUUUUGGAGAAGGUUUAUCUUCCACGUGUCAACAUGCUGUGGUUAGCAUUAUCAGUUUAUCAACAUAGACGGGAUUCACCAGUCAUUUUGUGAAUGUCACGCUCACUCAAAAUCAAGCUUCAAUUUCAGCCCUUCAUUCUCAAAAUGGCUUGUGGCUUUAAUUUUG
Molecule: long non-coding RNA, 443 nt
Filed under: Solanum lycopersicum (tomato)
Lineage: Eukaryota; Viridiplantae; Streptophyta; Magnoliopsida; Solanales; Solanaceae
Description: long non-coding RNA (SLYC_LNC000773)
Source: RNAcentral